UAUCGCGACGUAGUUUGACUCCGUGGCUCGAGGAUGAACGCUGGCGGCGUGCUUAACACAUGCAAGUCGAACGGAGAGCCUAUGACGGAGUUUUCGGACAACUGAUUAGGUUUCUUAGUGGCGGACGGGUGAGUAACGCGUGAGGAACCUGCCUUGGAGUGGGGAAUAACACAGAGAAAUUUGUGCUAAUACCGCAUAAGACCACGAGGUCGCAUGGCCUUGAGGUAAAAGAUUUAUCGGUGUAGGGUGAGCUCGCGUCUGAUUAGCUAGUUGGUGAGGUAACGGCCCACCAAGGCGACGAUCAGUAGCCGACCUGAGAGGGUGAUCGGCCACAUUGGAACUGAGACACGGUCCAGACUCCUACGGGAGGCAGCAGUGGGGAAUAUUGGGCAAUGGGCGCAAGCCUGACCCAGCAACGCCGCGUGAAGGAAGAAGGUUUUCGGAUUGUAAACUUCUGUCCUUGGUGACGAAGAAAGUGACGGUAGCCAAGGAGGAAGCCCCGGCUAACUACGUG
RNAcentral lists this ribosomal RNA (514 nucleotides) under uncultured bacterium. Its description in RNAcentral is "bacterial SSU rRNA". It matches the Rfam family "Bacterial small subunit ribosomal RNA", at positions 1 to 507 of the family's 1533-position model. The record is from RNAcentral.